GACGAACGCUGGCGGCGUGCUUAACACAUGCAAGUCGAGCGAAGUUUUUCUGGUUCUUGCACUAGAAAGACUUAGCGGCGAGCGGGUGAGGAACACGUAAAGAACCUGCGCCAUAGACUGGGACAACUAUUGGAAACGAUAGCUAAUACCGGAUAACAGUAUUUCUCGCAUGAUAGUGAUUGAAAAGUUGGUUAUGCUAACACUAUGAGACGGCUUUGCGGUGCUGUAGGUAGUUGGUGGGGUAAAGGCCCACCAAGGCGACGAUGCGUAGCCGACAUGAGAGGGUGAGUGGCCACACUGGGACUGAGACACGGCACAGACUACUACAGGAGGGGGCAGUACGGAAUCUUCCGCAAUGGGCGGGGACCUGGCGUAACAACGCCGCGUGAGUGAAGGAGGAAUUCUGUUCGUAAAGCUCUGUUUUUAGGGAAGAAUAGAUAUGUAAUUACUGUACAUGUAAGUGACGGUACCUAAUGAAAAAGCCACGGCUAACUACGUG
This 499-nucleotide ribosomal RNA is filed under the name uncultured bacterium. RNAcentral's name for it is "partial 16S ribosomal RNA". It matches the Rfam family "Bacterial small subunit ribosomal RNA", at positions 28 to 507 of the family's 1533-position model. The record is from RNAcentral.